CUUGACCGAGCCGAGCAGCAGCGGCCGGUCCUCCGGACGGUCCUGGCCGUAGGUGGCGAGGAGCGCCUGAGCCUC
Molecule: non-coding RNA, 75 nt
Organism: Streptomyces sp. NRRL F-6602
Lineage: Bacteria; Bacillati; Actinomycetota; Actinomycetes; Kitasatosporales; Streptomycetaceae
Source: Rfam